This 578-nucleotide ribosomal RNA is filed under the name Microgadus proximus. RNAcentral describes it as "partial 16S ribosomal RNA". It matches the Rfam family "Bacterial large subunit ribosomal RNA", at positions 1814 to 2601 of the family's 2925-position model. The record is from RNAcentral. Lineage: Eukaryota; Metazoa; Chordata; Actinopteri; Gadiformes; Gadidae.
CAUCGCCUCUUGCCCCCAAAAUAUGAGAGGUCCCGCCUGCCCUGUGACUAUAAGUUUAACGGCCGCGGUAUUUUAACCGUGCGAAGGUAGCGUAAUCACUUGUCUUUUAAAUGAAGACCUGUAUGAAUGGCAUCACGAGGGCUUAGCUGUCUCCCAUCUCCAGUCAAUGAAAUUGACCUCCCCGUGCAGAGGCGGGGAUGACUACAUAAGACGAGAAGACCCUAUGGAGCUUUAGACCUAAAGUAAGUCACGUUUAAUAUGCUGUGAUAACAGCGAAAACUUAGUGAUAUUUACUGAAGUGUCUUUGGUUGGGGCGACCGCGGGGUAAAACACAACCCCCAUGUGGACCGGGGAUAUUAUCCCUAAUACUCAGAGCCUCUACUCCAAGUAACAGAAAUUCUGACUUUUCUGAUCCGGUAUAACCGAUCAACGAACCGAGUUACCCUAGGGAUAACAGCGCAAUCCCCUCUCAGAGCCCAUAUCGACGAGGGGGUUUACGACCUCGAUGUUGGAUCAGGACAUCCUAAUGGUGCAGCCGCUAUUAAGGGUUCGUUUGUUCAACGAUUAAAGUCCUACGU